UCAUGGGUCCGCCGACAGCGCGCCGUGAACCCCGCCAGGCCCGGAAGGGAGCAACGGUAGCGGAAAGCGGGUGUGGCGGGCCCACUUGCU
Molecule: non-coding RNA, 90 nt
Organism: Sorangium cellulosum So0157-2
Lineage: Bacteria; Pseudomonadati; Myxococcota; Polyangiales; Polyangiaceae
Source: Rfam